RNAcentral lists this ribosomal RNA (444 nucleotides) under uncultured bacterium. Its description in RNAcentral is "bacterial SSU rRNA". It matches the Rfam family "Bacterial small subunit ribosomal RNA", at positions 1 to 455 of the family's 1533-position model. The record is from RNAcentral.
CCCUUAGAGUUUGAUCCUGGCUCAGAACGAACGCUGGCGGCGUGGAUAAGACAUGCAAGUCGAACGAGAGAAUUGCUAGCUUGCUAAUAAUUCUCUAGUGGCGCACGGGUGAGUAACACGUGAGUAACCUGCCCCCAAGAGUGGGAUAGCCCCGGGAAACUGGGAUUAAUACCGCAUAAAAUCGCAAGAUUAAAGCAGCAAUGCGCUUGGGGAUGGGCUCGCGUCCUAUUAGUUAGUUGGUGAGGUAACGGCUCACCAAGGCGAUGACGGGUAGCCGGUCUGAGAGGAUGUCCGGCCACACUGGAACUGAGACACGGUCCAGACACCUACGGGUGGCAGCAGUCGAGAAUCAUUCACAAUGGGGGAAACCCUGAUGGUGCGACGCCGCGUGGGGGAAUGAAGGUCUUCGGAUUGUAAACCCCUGUCAUGGGGAGCAAAUAAAAA